This 77-nucleotide transfer RNA is filed under the name Clostridiales bacterium. RNAcentral's name for it is "tRNA-Pro". It matches the Rfam family "tRNA". From Rfam's summary of the family: Transfer RNA (tRNA) molecules are approximately 80 nucleotides in length. Their secondary structure includes four short double-helical elements and three loops (D, anti-codon, and T loops). The record is from RNAcentral. Lineage: Bacteria; Bacillati; Bacillota; Clostridia; Eubacteriales.
CGAGGUGUAGCUCAGUUUGGUAGAGUGUCUGGUUUGGGACCAGAAUGCCGCAGGUUCGAGUCCUGUCACCUCGACCA